RNAcentral lists this ribosomal RNA (253 nucleotides) under uncultured bacterium. RNAcentral describes it as "partial 16S ribosomal RNA". It matches the Rfam family "Bacterial small subunit ribosomal RNA", at positions 524 to 776 of the family's 1533-position model. The record is from RNAcentral.
UACGUAGGGUGCGAGCGUUAAUCGGAAUUACUGGGCGUAAAGCGUGCGCAGGCGGUUCGUGAUGUCUGAUUUGAAAGCCCCGGGCUCAACCUGGGAAUUGCAUUGGAAACUAGCGGGCUGGAGUGUGGCAGAGGGGGGUGGAAUUCCACGUGUAGCAGUGAAAUGCGUAGAGAUGUGGAGGAACACCGAUGGCGAAGGCAGCCCCCUGGGCUAACACUGACGCUCAUGCACGAAAGCGUGGGGAGCAAACAGG